Molecule: transfer RNA, 76 nt
Filed under: Candidatus Omnitrophota bacterium
Lineage: Bacteria; Pseudomonadati; Candidatus Omnitrophota
Also listed under: 1 other name
Description: Candidatus Omnitrophica bacterium tRNA-Lys
Rfam family: tRNA
About the family: Transfer RNA (tRNA) molecules are approximately 80 nucleotides in length. Their secondary structure includes four short double-helical elements and three loops (D, anti-codon, and T loops). Further hydrogen bonds mediate the characteristic L-shaped molecular structure. tRNAs have two regions of fundamental functional importance: the anti-codon, which is responsible for specific mRNA codon recognition, and the 3' end, to which the tRNAs corresponding amino acid is attached (by aminoacyl-tRNA synthetases). tRNAs cope with the degeneracy of the genetic code in two manners: having more than one tRNA (with a specific anti-codon) for a particular amino acid; and 'wobble' base-pairing, i.e. permitting non-standard base-pairing at the 3rd anti-codon position.
Source: RNAcentral
GACCCGCUAGCUCAUCCGGUAGAGCAACGGCCUUUUAAGCCGUGGGCGCUUGGUUCGAGUCCAAGGCGGGUCACCA